Molecule: microRNA precursor, 225 nt
Filed under: Ectocarpus siliculosus
Lineage: Eukaryota; Phaeophyceae; Ectocarpales; Ectocarpaceae
Description: miR8629 stem-loop (esi-MIR8629)
Source: miRBase by way of RNAcentral
UGAAGCUAAAUAGUGGUGACUGCUGUGGGGUCUAUGAUUGCGAGCAAAAGUAAGAAUCCGUAUGGAGAAUCCGCAGGAGAUGCUAUACGAUAGUUUGGCGAUAGUUUGGCCAAACUAUCGUAUAGAAUCCUCGACGGGUUCUCCAUACGGAUAUUUACUUUUGCUCGCAUGGAUUGACAUCUUCUCAGCACACACAGACCCCACAGCAGUCACCACUAGCUUCAA